This 232-nucleotide ribosomal RNA is filed under the name uncultured bacterium. RNAcentral's name for it is "partial 16S ribosomal RNA". It matches the Rfam family "Bacterial small subunit ribosomal RNA", at positions 108 to 334 of the family's 1533-position model. The record is from RNAcentral.
GCGUAACACGUGGGUAAUCAACCCUUCAGUACGGGACAACCGAGGGAAACCUCAGCUAAUACCGAAUACGUCCAAGAGAACCCAGGUUCUCAUGGAGAAAGACCCGCAAGGGUUGCUGAAGGACGAGCCCGCGGCCCAUCAGCUAGUUGGUGAGGUAAAAGCUCACCAAGGCUAAGACGGGUAGCUGGUCUGAGAGGAUGAUCAGCCACACUGGAACUGAGACACGGUCCAG